AGCGAACGCUGGCGGCAGGCUUAACACAUGCAAGUCGAGCGGGCACCUUUCGGGGUGUCCGCGGCGGACGGGUGAGUACCGCGUGGGAACGUGCCCUCUGGUUCUGAAUAACUCAGGGAAACUUGAGCUAAUACCGGAUACUCCCUUUUGGGGAAACGCUUGCUGCCGGAGUAUCGGCCGGCGUCUGAUUAGCUAGUUGGUGAGGUAACGGCUCACCACUGCGACGAUCAGUAGCUGGUCUGAGAGGAUGAUCAGACACCCUGGGGAUGAGACACGGCCGAGACUCCUACGGGAGGCAGCAGUGGGGAAUAUUGGACAGUGGGCGCAAGCCUGAUCCAGCCAUGCCGGGUGAGUGAUGAAGGCCUUAGGGUUGUAAAGCUCUUUUAUCCGGGACGAUAAUGACGGUACCGGAGGAAUAAGCCCCGGCUAACUUCGUG
RNAcentral lists this ribosomal RNA (437 nucleotides) under uncultured bacterium. Its description in RNAcentral is "partial 16S ribosomal RNA". It matches the Rfam family "Bacterial small subunit ribosomal RNA", at positions 29 to 507 of the family's 1533-position model. The record is from RNAcentral.